GCCGUGGGCUCGCUGGGCGGCGCGCUGACCGUGUGGCGCGUGCCGCUAGAUGACGCGCUACAGGACGCUGAGGGCGAGGAGCCACGCUUCUGGAGUGCGGCGGGCGUGGAGCGGUGGCUGCGAGAAUAUGUCACCAGACCGCCCGGCUCGACGGUGUCAGAGGAGGAGGAGACGCGAUUGCUCGACGCGGUCACUGAAGCAGAACUCACCGGCGACAAGUUGCUGGACACUCCGCUGAUGGAGUUGAUGAACUGUUUCGGAUAUGGAGGAGAACCCAGUGAAGACUCUGACGAGCCUCAUGAGGUUCGUGAGCGACUGCUAGAUGAAAUACUGUGGCUGCGUCGAGACUUUCUUCCUUACGAUUUGGUGAGUUUAAAUAACUGAUAUCGUUCUCUUACUGUUCUUUAUUAUUUAUUGCUUG
This 421-nucleotide unclassified non-coding RNA is filed under the name Melitaea cinxia (Glanville fritillary). Its description in RNAcentral is "misc RNA ENSMCXG00005016599.1". The record is from RNAcentral. Lineage: Eukaryota; Metazoa; Arthropoda; Insecta; Lepidoptera; Nymphalidae.